Molecule: non-coding RNA, 229 nt
Filed under: Bacillus sp. (in: firmicutes)
Lineage: Bacteria; Bacillati; Bacillota; Bacilli; Caryophanales; Bacillaceae
Description: Bacillus sp. T-box sequence
Rfam family: T-box leader
About the family: Uncharged tRNA acts as the effector for transcription antitermination of genes in the T-box leader family. T-boxes are found upstream of many aminoacyl-tRNA synthetase genes and some amino acid biosynthetic genes usually in Gram-positive bacteria.
Source: RNAcentral
GUAAACUCUAUGACGAAGAAGAGUAAGCUUGUGAUGCGCGCAACAGAGAGCCGGGAGGGUGAGAGCCGGUGCCGCAAAUCAGACUGAAUGGACUUCAGAGAGGCAGCAGGAAAUGGCUGCCCGGCUUCCGCCGUUACCAGGACCCAGACGGGAUAAAAUUUCCAUCUGGACGAAGAGGAAGCUUUAGAGCUUCAAUGCGAGGUGGCACCGCGGUCAAUCCGUCCUCCGC